UACGGAGGGGGCUAGCGUUGUUCGGAAUUACUGGGCGUAAAGCGCACGUAGGCGGCUUUGCAAGUCAGAGGUGAAAGCCCGGGGCUCAACCCCGGAACUGCCUUUGAUACUGGACACCUAGAGUAUGGGAGAGGUGAGUGGAACUCCGAGUGUAGAGGUGAAAUUCGUAGAUAUUCGGAAGAACACCAGUGGCGAAGGCGACUCACUGGCCCAUUACUGACGCUGAGGAGCGAAAGCGUGGGGAGCGAACAGG
Molecule: ribosomal RNA, 253 nt
Filed under: uncultured bacterium
Lineage: Bacteria
Description: partial 16S ribosomal RNA
Rfam family: Bacterial small subunit ribosomal RNA
Source: RNAcentral